AAUCAACGCUGGCGGCGUGCCUCAGACAUGCAAGUCGAACGAUUAAACUUCCCUUCGGGGAAGAUAUAAAGUGGCGCACGGGUGAGUAACACGUAGGUAAUGUACCUUUGGGUGGGGAAUAACUUAGGGAAACUUAAGCUAAUACCGCAUAAUGCAGCGGCUCCUUCGGGAGACAGUUGUUAAAGAUUUAUCGCCUAAAGAGCAGCCUGCGGCAGAUUAGCUAGUUGGUAAGGUAACGGCUUACCAAGGCUGCGAUCUGUAUCCGACCUGAGAGGGUGGUCGGACACACUGACACUGAAUAACGGGUCAGACUCCUACGGGAGGCAGCAGUCGGGAAUUUUGGGCAAUGGGCGAAAGCCUGACCCAGCAACGCCGCGUGAAGGAUGAAGUCUUUCGGGAUGUAAACUUCGUAAGAAUAGGAAGAAUAAAUGACGGUACUAUUUGUAAGGUCCGGCUAACUACGUG
Molecule: ribosomal RNA, 465 nt
Filed under: uncultured bacterium
Lineage: Bacteria
Description: partial 16S ribosomal RNA
Rfam family: Bacterial small subunit ribosomal RNA
Source: RNAcentral